GAUGAACGCUGGCGGUCUGCUUAACACAUGCAAGUCGAACGGGCUCUUCGGAGCUAGUGGCGGACGGGUGAGUAACGCGUGAGAAUCUGCCUUCAGGAGGGGGAUAACGACUGGAAACGGUCGCUAAUACCCCAUAUGCCUCCGGGUGAAAAGUAAUUCGCCUGAAGAUGAGCUCGCGUCAGAUUGGCUAGUUGGUGGGGUAAGAGCCUACCAAGGCGACGAUCUGUAGCUGGUCUGAGAGGAUGAUCAGCCACACUGGGACUGAGACACGGCCCAGACUCCUACGGGAGGCAGCAGUGGGGAAUUUUCCGCAAUGGGCGCAAGCCUGACGGAGCAAGACCGCGUGGGGGAUGGCGGCCUAAUGGUUGUAAACCCCUUKUCUCUGGGAAGAAGACUGACGGGUACCAGAGGAAUCAGCCUCGGCUAACUCCGUGCCAGCAGCCGCGGUAAUUACGGAGGAGGCAAGCGUUAUCCGGAAUUAUUGGGCGUAAAGCGUCCGUAGGUGGUUAUUCAAGUCUGCUGUCAAAGCGUGGGGCUUAACUCCAUAGAGGCAGUGGAAACUGAGUGACUAGAGUGCGGUAGGGGUCGAGGGAAUUCCCAGUGUAGCGGUGAAAUGCGUAGAUAUUGGGAAGAACACCAGUGGCGAAAGCGCUCGACUGGGCCUGCACUGACACUGAGGGACGAAAGCUAGGGGAGCGAAAGGGAUUAGGUACUCCUGUAGUCCUAGCCCUAAACGAUGGAUACUAGGUGUUGCUCG
Molecule: ribosomal RNA, 757 nt
Filed under: uncultured cyanobacterium
Lineage: Bacteria; Bacillati; Cyanobacteriota
Description: bacterial SSU rRNA
Rfam family: Bacterial small subunit ribosomal RNA
Source: RNAcentral